RNAcentral lists this ribosomal RNA (517 nucleotides) under uncultured bacterium. RNAcentral's name for it is "bacterial SSU rRNA". It matches the Rfam family "Bacterial small subunit ribosomal RNA", at positions 29 to 523 of the family's 1533-position model. The record is from RNAcentral.
AUUGAACGCUGGCGGCGUGCCUAACACAUGCAAGUCGAGCGGUAACAGGCGUAGCAAUACGUGCUGACGAGCGGCGAACGGGUGAGCAAUGCUUCGGAAUCUGCCCUUUAGUGGGGAAUAACCAGCCGAAAGGUUGGCUAAUACCGCAUACGCCCCCUUCCUUGGAUGGAAGGUGGGGAAAGCGGGGGACCGUAAGGCCUCGCGCUAUUGGAUGAGCCGAAGUCGGAUUAGCUAGUUGGUAGGGUAACGGCCUACCAAGGCGACGAUCCGUAGCUGGUCAGAGAGGACGACCAGCCACACUGGGACUGAGACACGGCCCAGACUCCUACGGGAGGCAGCAGUGGGGAAUAUUGGACAAUGGGGGCAACCCUGAUCCAGCGACGCCGCGUGUGUGAAGAAGGCCUGCGGGUUGUAAAGCACUUUUAGUGGGGAUGAAAAGCUCGGGGAUAACACCUCCGGGUCUUGACCUAACCCACAGAAAAAGCACCGGCUAACUCUGUGCCAGCAGCCGCGGUAA